Molecule: ribosomal RNA, 497 nt
Filed under: uncultured bacterium
Lineage: Bacteria
Description: partial 16S ribosomal RNA
Rfam family: Bacterial small subunit ribosomal RNA
Source: RNAcentral
GACGAACGCUGGCGGCGUGCCUAAUACAUGCAAGUUGAGCGCUGAAGGUUGGUACUUGUACCGACUGGAUGAGCAGCGAACGGGUGAGUAACGCGUGGGGAAUCUUCCUUUGAGCGGGGGACAACAUUUGGAAACGAAUGCUAAUACCGCAUAAAAACUUUAAACACAAGUUUUAAGUUUGAAAGAUGCAAUUGCAUCACUCAAAGAUGAUCCCGCGUUGUUUUAGCUAGUUGGUGAGGUAAAGGCUCACCAAGGCGAUGAUACAUAGCCGACCUGAGAGGGUGAUCGGCCACAUUGGGACUGAGACACGGCCCAAACUCCUACGGGAAGGAGCAGUAGGGAAACUUCGGCAAUGGACGAAAGUCUGGCCGAGCAACGCCGCGGGAGUGAAGAAGGUUUUCGGAUCGUAAAACUCUGUUGGUAGAGGAGAACGUUGGUGAGGGUGGAAAGCUCAUCAAGUGACGGUAACUGCACAGGAAGGAACGGCUAACUACGUG